UACAGAGGGGGCAAGCGUUGUCCGGAAUUAUUGGGCGUAAAGAGCUUGUAGGCGGUCUGUCGCGUCUGCUGUGAAAAUCCGGGGCUCAACCCCGGACUUGCAGUGGGUACGGGCAGACUAGAGUGUGGUAGGGGAGACUGGAAUUCCUGGUGUAGCGGUGAAAUGCGCAGAUAUCAGGAGGAACACCGAUGGCGAAGGCAGGUCUCUGGGCCACUACUGACGCUGAGAAGCGAAAGCAUGGGGAGCGAACAGG
RNAcentral lists this ribosomal RNA (253 nucleotides) under uncultured bacterium. Its description in RNAcentral is "partial 16S ribosomal RNA". It matches the Rfam family "Bacterial small subunit ribosomal RNA", at positions 524 to 776 of the family's 1533-position model. The record is from RNAcentral.